UCGAACGUGAAGACGGCGCAACCGGCAAGUAGAGUGGCGGACGGGUGAGUAAUACAUCGGAAAGUGUCCAGUAAUGGGGGAUAACUCUAGCGGAAGUUAGGCUAAUACACGCAUACGAUCUGAGGAUGAAAGCGGGGGAUGCAGCAUUAAAAGAUUCAGGCAGAGUACAGUCGAAGCCAAUGAAAGAGUUGGUGGUGCUGCACCUCACGUUAUUGGAGCGGAUGAUGUAUGAUUAGCUAGUUGGUGAGGUAAUGGCUUACCAAGGUGACGAUCAUUAGGUGGUUUGAGAGGACGGCCAGCCACACUGGGACUGAGAUCACGGCCCAGACUCCUACGGGAGGCAUCAGUGGGGAAUUUUGGACAAUGGGGGCAACCCUGAUCCAGCCAUGUCGCGUGAGUGAAGAAGGCCUUCGGGUUGUAAAGCUUUUUCGUCCGGAACGAAACAGUGGAUGCUAACACCCUCCAUUAAUGACGGUACCGGAAGAAGAAGCACCGGCUAACUACGUG
Molecule: ribosomal RNA, 507 nt
Filed under: uncultured bacterium
Lineage: Bacteria
Description: bacterial SSU rRNA
Rfam family: Bacterial small subunit ribosomal RNA
Source: RNAcentral